The submitters of this non-coding RNA (68 nucleotides) gave its source as unclassified sequences. The record is from Rfam.
CCGCCCCUGACGACAAGGUAGCCAAGUGAGGCUGUCUUUCUCGCAAGAGAAUAGUCAGGGGUGUUUUA